RNAcentral lists this long non-coding RNA (1198 nucleotides) under Sorghum bicolor (sorghum). RNAcentral describes it as "long non-coding RNA (SBIC_LNC005941)". Lineage: Eukaryota; Viridiplantae; Streptophyta; Magnoliopsida; Poales; Poaceae. The record is from RNAcentral.
UUCGCCCCCCAUCUAUCUGGUUGACUUCGCCGUGGGCAACGAGAGCCUAGCCUACCUUUUUCAGGAGGCUAUGGCGCCUCGGUCGGAGCCGAGAUCCGUGGGCAGCGGGGACGAGUUAUACUACUGUACCACCCUCUCCCUGGCUUGUCUGACGAUGCUGUGGCUGUGGAUUUCGGGACACCGGACUCGAGCGCGACCGGCCCAGCCUCUCACUUAGAUCUACCCAAUUGUUACUGUAACCUACCUUAUUUGUGUUCACUUGUUUGAUCAUGUUGAUUACGAUACGAGGGUCCAACGAUGGCGGGUUACUUGCUUGCCCUGGGAUCAGAUCGUUCGGGACCUUUCUUCUGCCUCUUCUCAUAAUUGGAUUUGAGGACUAUCAUUUUUUCUUCCACUUUUUAUGUUCGUGUGCCUAAGCCUCAGGAUCUAUUACGAUUUGGGUCGUGCAUGCUUAUCUAAGGCCUCGUUUAGUUGGCAAAAUUUUUUGUUUUUGGUACUGUAGCAUUUCGUUUUUAUUUGACAAACAUUGUCCAAUUACGGAGUAACUAGGCUCAAAAGAUUCAUCUCACAAAUUACAGGUAAACUGUGCAGUUAGUUUUUAUUUUUGUCUAUAUUUAAUGCUCCAUGCAUGCGACUAAAGAUUCGAUGUGACGGAGAAUCUUGAAAAUUUUUGUGAACUAAACAAGGCCUAAAGCUCCACUAACUAGACCUCGUAACUUUUUAUUUUUUUAUUCAGGAUUUUCCAUGUUUUGAUAUGCUAAUUAACCAUAUCGGCCGUGCCGAUGUAUUGGGUCACUGAAUGUGGCCUUUUGCAAAUAAGACGUUCCUCGCAUCCAUGCUCUUUGAAUACUAACAAGUUCUGACUAGCUACAUGUGUUUGUCUGAAAGUCUGUCUAUAUUUGAUUUGGUAGUCAAUGGUUGACAAGAUUAUGUUUGUUUUCUAUAACAUAACUUGUUAUGCUAACGUGUUAAAUGGUAUUCCAAGCUAAUUAAAACAGAAAUAAAAAGUUUCUGUUAUGGGAGUUAGAUGUUUUUUUUUGGAUUAUAGAGCAUGCAAACUUCCUAUCAGCUCAAUCAGUGUAUUAUUGAUGUCAUAUGAAAUUCCUUGUACUGAAUUUCUCUCUGGUAUGCAUAGCGUGCAAUGUCAUAUAAGUCCGAAAUCACACUUGUUUGACACAACAUUCCCCCUUGCAGUAAU